AAACCCAGAAUGGAAUAGAAAACACCAUUACAUGUAUCUUGAGACAAAACAAUUGCAGAGGUUAAAAAUAAUUGGUUCAAAAAACUUUUGUGAGUAUGAAAAAACACUACUAAAACAAAUUUUGUCAAACCAGUUAUUGAAAGUAAAGACCAUACUACUGCUACUGAGCAAAAUAAAGAGUGGUUGGCCUGCAUUUUGCAGUGAAUUCAAUGAAAAUGUAACAAAAGACUACAACAACUUCAGACUCUGUGGAAGAACCUUAAACUGGCUUUAAAAAGAGAAUGCAGAGAUCAGAAGAGAGUGAUUUACUACUGGUGGUGGACCACCAAAAAAAAGACAAGACUGAUGAAUCGAGUGACUUGCUGUCUGGAAUAAUAGAGCACCAGCAACCUCUGGAUGGUAUACCAGAUGAUGACCAUUUGGACAGUUCAGAUGAAGAUCUGAGCACAAAUGAGGAAAGGAAUCAGAACAGGUUGGAAGAGCCAGUGCACAGUGAGGGUGUACCCUCCACAUCUGCUAUAGCAUCCCUUAGAGAAGAUGCUGCCAUCGCCUUUCAGCAGAGAACAAAAAAGAUGACCAUUUAUGAAAAGUUAGCCAGAGAAUUUCAUGAGCUUAAAAUGAGAUAUCUGAAGGAAAAACAUGAAAUGAGAAUUAGUUUAGUUGAAUUGGAUAUGAAGUUGGAAGAGAGAGAUAUUAUACAGUAAUGAGACCAUCGUGAUUACCAGUCAUGGUGAACAAUAUGAUAUGUGAAAAAUAUUUUUUUUGUCAUUUGGAUAUUCAUGAGUGAGAGUAUUUUAAUCACCACAAAUGACAGUUAAACCAGCCUUGGUUUAGUCACCCAUUUAAUUUUGCUGCACACUAUUUUAAUGUCGUACAGAACAAACAUUAUCAAAGCAAAAAUAAGCCAUAACGAAUACAUUCCAUAUUUAAAUGCAUCUCAUCUAGUUGAAGUGCUGCAAUGUGAAAAGAACUGUGUGCAAGUCCUCGUUGGUCAUUGCCUGCCUCAGCCCCAUGGGCACAUCUGCUUGAUCCUGAUCUUCCAUUAGAGGAUCAGGACAGCAAUAUUGCUUUAAGUAGUUGUGCAGCACAGCUGUAGCAAUGAUCACAUUGCAGCAGCAUCUUUGCUUGAAACUAAGUGUAUUGUGUAAACACUGGAAUCGAUUUUUCCAUACUCCAAACAUACGCUUGACUAACCCUCUUGUGCGGAUAUGAGCUCUGUUGUAUCUUUGCUGCUCUGCUGUUGUGGGAUUUAUGUAUGGAGUGAAUAAAAAAUUACUCUGACCAUAUCCACUGUCACCAAGUAGUAGUCCACUAUGUUGUCCUCUCUGAAACUGAGCAGACAAUGAAGAAUUGAGAAAAAUCCUUGAAUCGUGAUUUGUAGCUUUCUAAUGGGGAACAAUGUUUGAAAACUCUAAAUUAGGAGUGCAUACACCCUGAACAUUGAUUUAAAAACAGUUCUUACGGUUCCUCAGCAUCAGGAGUUACUCCUCAGCAUCAGGAGUUGAUGGACACUUGAUGGGAACAUGAGAUCCAUCUAUACAGCCAAUCACUCCUGGGAUGUGCCCAUAUUCAUAGAAUUGCCAUUUUUGUUUGCUUGGCCAGGAGCGUCAGAAAACUUGAUGUAAAGACUCCUCAGUUCACAAAUGGCCCUGCAGACUUUAAACUAUUCUACACACAGUUGCUUCACUGGCACCACACAAAUCACCAGUUUCACGAUGAAAGAUUCCAGAUGCCAAAAACCUCAGUGUGAUCAGAACUUGGAGAGAAUUGGGUAAAGGCCUUCCUCCAUGAGACAGAGAGGAAAGUUUAGGCUCAAGCAAAGAUAUUAUCUCCAAGGCAAUUUCUUUGUACAUACGAAGGUGGUCUCAAAAACUAUUUCACCAAAGUAAUUUAAUGGAUUACUCCUAUCCGCAAAUACUCAUCUGGCUGGCCUCUGUAGCGCAUGUUGUUCUUCAUUUAGAUAUUGCAAAUAGUCCAUGCUCCCUCACAAACAGUACUAAGCAGAAGUUAAGCCUGCCUCUUUGAAGGAUUAAUUUAAGCUUAAAUUUAGUAAGAGUAGCUCUUAUCCUCCCUCUUGCAAUCGGCUUUGUUUAAUCCAGAACUGGAUAAAUCUACGACUAUUUUAAAAUAAAGCAACAUGCACAGACUUGAGUUAAGAUAGCUCAAACAGGCAUUUUAGUCUGGGACUAGGCUUAAACUUUGUCUGUGAAACAGGCCCAGAAAGCAUUAAACUGUAAAGAGAAGUUAAACAAGGUUGCCCACUAUCAGCAUAUCUAUUUAUUAUGACCAACUAAAUUAAAAAAUCAGAUCCAACAAUAAUAUCAAGCUGCUAGAAAUCCAGGGCUUAAAAACAAAAAAUGGUGGGUUGGAAAUUAUGCAGAAAAUUACAUUGAUAAAAGCCACAAUCUAUGGAAU
Long non-coding RNA from Oncorhynchus tshawytscha (Chinook salmon), 2415 nucleotides. RefSeq lists it as uncharacterized. The transcript has 3 exons. NCBI's taxonomy places the organism in Eukaryota, Metazoa, Chordata, Actinopteri, Salmoniformes, Salmonidae. The record is from RefSeq and is a predicted model, not a curated record.